UUAAAUUGAAGAGUUUGAUCAUGGCUCAGAUUGAACGCUGGCGGCAGGCUUAACACAUGCAAGUCGAACGGUAACAUGAGUGCUUGCACUUGAUGACGAGUGGCGGACGGGUGAGUAAGGUAUGGGGAUCUGCCGAAUGGAGGGGGACAACAGUUGGAAACGACUGCUAAUACCGCAUAAAGUUGAGAGACCAAAGCGUGGGACCUACGGGCCAUGCGCCAUUUGAUGAACCCAUAUGGGAUUAGCUAGUUGGUGGGGUAAAGGCUCACCAAGGCGACGAUCUCUAGCUGGUCUGAGAGGAUGACCAGCCACACUGGAACUGAGACACGGUCCAGACUCCUACGGGAGGCAGCAGUGGGGAAUAUUGCACAAUGGGGGGAACCCUGAUGCAGCCAUGCCGCGUGUAUGAAGAAGGCCUUCGGGUUGUAAAGUACUUUCGGUGAUGAGGAAGGUGAUGUAUCUAACAGGUGCAUUAAUUGACGUUAAUCACAGAAGAAGCACCGGCUAACUCCGUGCCAGCAGCCGCGGUAAUACGGAGGGUGCGAGCGUUAAUCGGAAUGACUGGGCGUAAAGGGCAUGUAGGCGGAUAAUUAAGUUAGGUGUGAAAGCCCUGGGCUCAACCUAGGAAUUGCACUUAAAACUGGUUAACUAGAGUAUUGUAGAGGAAGGUAGAAUUCCACGUGUAGCGGUGAAAUGCGUAGAGAUGUGGAGGAAUACCGGUGGCGAAGGC
RNAcentral lists this ribosomal RNA (730 nucleotides) under Gilliamella sp. Occ3-1. RNAcentral describes it as "bacterial SSU rRNA". It matches the Rfam family "Bacterial small subunit ribosomal RNA", at positions 1 to 722 of the family's 1533-position model. The record is from RNAcentral. Lineage: Bacteria; Pseudomonadati; Pseudomonadota; Gammaproteobacteria; Orbales; Orbaceae.